RNAcentral lists this ribosomal RNA (1002 nucleotides) under Cordyceps cateniannulata. RNAcentral describes it as "SSU rRNA". It matches the Rfam family "Eukaryotic small subunit ribosomal RNA", at positions 94 to 1107 of the family's 1831-position model. The record is from RNAcentral. Lineage: Eukaryota; Fungi; Ascomycota; Sordariomycetes; Hypocreales; Cordycipitaceae.
UGGCUCAUUAUAUAAGUUAUCGUUUAUUUGAUAGUACCUUACUACUUGGAUAACCGUGGUAAUUCUAGAGCUAAUACAUGCUAAAAAUCCCGACUUCGGAAGGGAUGUAUUUAUUAGAUUAAAAACCAAUGCCCUCUGGGCUCCUUGGUGAUUCAUGAUAACUCUUCGAAUCGCACGGCCUUGCGCCGGCGAUGGUUCAUUCAAAUUUCUUCCCUAUCAACUUUCGAUGUUUGGGUAUUGGCCAAACAUGGUUGCAACGGGUAACGGAGGGUUAGGGCUCGACCCCGGAGAAGGAGCCUGAGAAACGGCUACUACAUCCAAGGAAGGCAGCAGGCGCGCAAAUUACCCAAUCCCGAUUCGGGGAGGUAGUGACAAUAAAUACUGAUACAGGGCUCUUUUGGGUCUUGUAAUUGGAAUGAGUACAAUUUAAAUCCCUUAACGAGGAACAAUUGGAGGGCAAGUCUGGUGCCAGCAGCCGCGGUAAUUCCAGCUCCAAUAGCGUAUAUUAAAGUUGUUGUGGUUAAAAAGCUCGUAGUUGAACCUUGGGCCUGGCUGGCCGGUCCGCCUCACCGCGUGCACUGGUCCGGCCGGGCCUUUCCCUCUGUGGAACCCCAUGCCCUUCACUGGGCGUGGCGGGGAAACAGGACUUUUACUUUGAAAAAAUUAGAGUGCUCCAGGCAGGCCUAUGCUCGAAUACAUUAGCAUGGAAUAAUGAAAUAGGACGCGUGGUUCUAUUUUGUUGGUUUCUAGGACCGCCGUAAUGAUUAAUAGGGACAGUCGGGGGCAUCAGUAUUCGAUCGUCAGAGGUGAAAUUCUUGGAUUGAUUGAAGACUAACUACUGCGAAAGCAUUUGCCAAGGAUGUUUUCAUUAAUCAGGAACGAAAGUUAGGGGAUCGAAGACGAUCAGAUACCGUCGUAGUCUUAACCAUAAACUAUGCCGACUAGGGAUCGGACGAUGUUAUUUUUUGACGCGUUCGGCACCUUACGAGAAAUCAAAGUGCU